Molecule: long non-coding RNA, 318 nt
Filed under: Brassica napus (rape)
Lineage: Eukaryota; Viridiplantae; Streptophyta; Magnoliopsida; Brassicales; Brassicaceae
Description: long non-coding RNA (BNAP_LNC011762)
Source: RNAcentral
AGCUCAGACGUCUCUGGGCCCCCAUACUCAUCCAAUAUGCGUCGAUAGCUCAGAUGUCUCUGUGCCCAUGCAUUCUAUACGUCGCUAGCUCAGAUUUCUUUGUGCCCCCGUACUCAUAUGCGUCGCCAGCCCAGAUCUCUCUGGGCCCCCGCACCCACCACAUAGUCCCUACUGUAUAACUAUAUAUAUAUAUAUAUAUAUAUAUCAUCAUUUAACAUCAAACAAUCCAAACAAGAGUUGAAUCCUCUAGACCCAUAAUUCCGGUUAACAUUGAAUAAACUAACUACCAAACAAAACUCAGGCAGACUCGAUUCAAAC